GCCGCCCGCCUCCCGCAGCAGCCCGCCGCUCCCCGCGCCGCUCCCCUCGCCCGCGCCGCCCUUCGGGCUCCCGCACGCGGCGGCGGCGGCCCCUUCCGCGCCGCCGGCCGAGGAUAAUCCCGACGACGAGGAACAAUAUAGUCACCUACUGAAAGCGAGUGUGAAUGGUCAGAAUGGAAGAAGGACCACUUCCUCACUCCCACCAAAGAGGACCCCGCGGUUUUUCUUCCUCUCUGCCGGCAACUCUUUCAUCUUUCUUCUGCCAACAGCAUAAUUGUAUAGCACCAACAAUAAGCUGCAGUUAUUGAAG
Coturnix japonica (Japanese quail) is the source of this 310-nucleotide non-coding RNA. Lineage: Eukaryota; Metazoa; Chordata; Aves; Galliformes; Phasianidae. The record is from RefSeq and is a predicted model, not a curated record.